ACCCUGAUAUUAGCCAUUUAUCCUUAUGUGACAUAACCUCAAAUAACCUGAAAUAACCUAUGUUACUCAAUUGGCAAAUUAUUUCCUUUACUUCAAUCUAAAAAAUUUCGUCGUUCUAUUUUCGAAAUGUUCAACUACGUUACGAAAAUAUUGUUAAACGUAAUUACACACAUAUCAAGAAUUUUUUAAGAAUUAAGAAGAAUACUAAUGUGUUGAGCUCAAUCUUUAAGCGUAUUAAUAGUUUCUUAUCAACAGUAAAUUCCGGUCAUUUCAUGGAACAAUUAAAUAUUUUUUAAAAAUACUUCUAAAAAUUGGUUAUUAUGAUUAUAAAACGAUGAGGACGAGACUGAAAUUAGUAAUUUGUGUGAUUCUUGGAUAUUUUUUGAUACAGUUUUUAUCACGAAGUUAUUACACAGAAGAGUAUCCCGUUAUUUUAUGGUGGACAAAUGAAAUUAUUCAAGAUGAAACAAUAACCUGUGACAUUUAUAAAUGUUUAAUAUCAGGGAAUAGAGAUUAUUUUAAUAAGCCUAAUCUUGCGUUUAAGGACAACACUUUGGGUUGCUGCACUGAAAAUAUGGAAGUUGUGAAUUGUAUCAAUUUAGUGCUAUGAGAAAAUUAAAUUCCAUCAUAAAAGUUGCCAGAGAUUUUGCCCGAAAUGAUCAAAAACUUCAAAAAAUUUGUGUUCUUCAAAAGAAGAUGAGUUUCUACCCAAUUGUUGAUCUAUUUUGCAGUUCAAUUUUUCUAUAGCGUUUAUUAGUUCUUAUUUGGUUUGUUUCUUUUUUGGUUAAGCUCUUUUUGUUUUGUUUGCAGAAGCGGCGCUAGCCCCCUUGGCGCCCCUAUGCAGAUCUUAGAAAAUGCGCCCUUCUAAAAAUGUUUAAAAAAUUUUCAGUACCGUUUAAAUUUACAUAUUUCCAGUGUUACUUAUAUUAAAUACUAAAAUAAAAAGCAAUAGCAGAUACUACAUUUAUUAUUACAUUUUUUAUACAGUAUACAAAAUACAAAUGCUAUUUUACAUCUAAAAAAAUAGAUAUUAACAAUCAUUAAACGUUUACUCUUCGUGCUUUAGCACUUGCAAAAUUUUCAAUUAUCUCGUUGUUAUCAAUUUGAUCACAUACAUCACUUUCUAUUGCGAUCAACGCAAGUCCGACAAGACGUUCUUGUGAUAAAGUUGAUCUAAGAUAGGUUUUUAUAAUUUUUAACCGUGAAAACGAUCGUUCCCCACUUGAAACUGUUGCCGGUUGCGUUAAUAAAACCCGUAAAGCGAUACUUAAGUUAA
This is a non-coding RNA of Onthophagus taurus, 1276 nucleotides long. The record is from RefSeq and is a predicted model, not a curated record. Lineage: Eukaryota; Metazoa; Arthropoda; Insecta; Coleoptera; Scarabaeidae.